GACGAACCGUGCGAGCGUUGUUCGGAAUCACUGGGCUUAAAGGGCGCGUAGGCGGGCUGACAAGUCUGGGGUGAAAUGCCGCGGCUCAACCGUGGAACUGCCUUAGAUACUGUCGGCCUCGAGGAAGGUAGGGGCAUGCGGAACUGUAGGUGGAGCGGUGAAAUGCGUUGAUAUCUACAGGAACUCCGGUGGCGAAGGCGAGGUGCUGGACCCUUUCUGACGCUGAGGCGCGAAAGCCAGGGGAGCGAACGGG
RNAcentral lists this ribosomal RNA (253 nucleotides) under uncultured bacterium. Its description in RNAcentral is "partial 16S ribosomal RNA". It matches the Rfam family "Bacterial small subunit ribosomal RNA", at positions 524 to 776 of the family's 1533-position model. The record is from RNAcentral.